GGGGACCUUCGGGCCUUGCGCUAUCAAAUGAGCCUAGGUCGGAUUAGCUAGUUGGUGGGGUAAUGGCUCACCAAGGCGACGAUCCGUAACUGGUCUGAGAGGAUGAUCAGUCACUCUGGAACUGAGACACGGUCCAGACUCCUACGGGAGGCAGCAGUGGGGAAUAUUGGACAAUGGGCGAAAGCCUGAUCCAGCCAUGCCGCGUGUGUGAAGAAGGUCUUCGGAUUGUAAAGCACUUUAAGUUGGGAGGAAGGGUUGUAGAUUAAUACUCUGCAAUUUUGACGUUACCGACAGAAUAAGCACCGGCUAACUCUGUGCCAGCAGCC
This 326-nucleotide ribosomal RNA is filed under the name Pseudomonas sp. NN5-1. RNAcentral's name for it is "bacterial SSU rRNA". It matches the Rfam family "Bacterial small subunit ribosomal RNA", at positions 194 to 516 of the family's 1533-position model. The record is from RNAcentral. Lineage: Bacteria; Pseudomonadati; Pseudomonadota; Gammaproteobacteria; Pseudomonadales; Pseudomonadaceae.